This 497-nucleotide ribosomal RNA is filed under the name uncultured bacterium. Its description in RNAcentral is "partial 16S ribosomal RNA". It matches the Rfam family "Bacterial small subunit ribosomal RNA", at positions 28 to 507 of the family's 1533-position model. The record is from RNAcentral.
GAUGAACGCUGGCGGCGUGCCUAAUACAUGCAAGUCGAGCGAACAGACGAGGAGCUUGCUCCUCUGACGUUAGCGGCGGACGGGUGAGUAACACGUGGAUAACCUACCUAUAAGACUGGGAUAACUUCGGGAAACCGGAGCUAAUACCGGAUAAUAUAUUGAACCGCAUGGUUCAAUAGUGAAAGACGGUUUUGCUGUCACUUAUAGAUGGAUCCGCGCCGCAUUAGCUAGUUGGUAAGGUAACGGCUUACCAAGGCAACGAUGCGUAGCCGACCUGAGAGGAUGGUCGGCCACACUGGAACUGAGACACGGUCCAGACUCCUACGGGAGGCAGCAGUAGGGAAUCUUGCGCAAGGGGCGAAAGCCUGACGGAGCAACGCCGCGUGAGUGAUGAAGGUCUUCGGAUCGUAAAACUCUGUUAUUAGGGAAGAACAAAUGUGUAAGUAACUAUGCACGUCUUGACGGUACCUAAUAAGAAAGCCACGGCUAACUACGUG